Molecule: ribosomal RNA, 271 nt
Filed under: uncultured archaeon
Lineage: Archaea
Description: partial 16S ribosomal RNA
Rfam family: Archaeal small subunit ribosomal RNA
Source: RNAcentral
CAGCGCCACAAGUGGGGACCAGUAUUAUUGGGCCUAAAGCGUCCGUAGCCGGAUGAGUACAUCCUUUGUGAAAUUGUUGGGCUUAACCUAACAGCGUGCAGAGGACACGGCUUAUCUUGAGACCGGGAGGAGUCAGAGGUAUGCUGGGGGAAGCGGUAAAAUGCUGUAAUCCUCAGUAGACCACCUGUGGCGAAGGCGUCUGACUAGAACGGGUCUGACGGUGAGGGACGAAAGCUGGGGGAGCGAUCCGGAUUAGAUACCCGAGUAGUCC